GCUUGUCUCAAGAUUAAGCCAUGCAUGUCUAAGUAUAAACGACUUUAUACAGUGAAACUGCGAAUGGCUCAUUAAAUCAGUUAUAGUUUAUUUGAUAAUACCUUACUACUUGGAUAACCGUGGUAAUUCUAGAGCUAAUACAUGCAUUAAACCCCGACUUCUGGAAGGGGUGUAUUUAUUAGAUGGAAACCAAUGCGGGGUAACCCGGAAUAUGGUGAUUCAUAAUAACUUUCGGAUCGAUUUAUCGAUGCAUCAUUCAAGUUUCUGCCCUAUCAGCUUUGGAUGGUAGGGUAUUGGCCUACCAUGGCUUUAACGGGUAACGGAGAAUUAGGGUUCGAUUCCGGAGAGGGAGCCUGAGAAAUGGCUACCACAUCCAAGGAAGGCAGCAGG
This 390-nucleotide ribosomal RNA is filed under the name uncultured Chrysophyceae. Its description in RNAcentral is "partial small subunit ribosomal RNA". It matches the Rfam family "Eukaryotic small subunit ribosomal RNA", at positions 30 to 432 of the family's 1831-position model. Lineage: Eukaryota; Chrysophyceae. The record is from RNAcentral.